Long non-coding RNA from Manacus vitellinus (golden-collared manakin), 210 nucleotides. RefSeq lists it as uncharacterized. The record is from RefSeq and is a predicted model, not a curated record. Lineage: Eukaryota; Metazoa; Chordata; Aves; Passeriformes; Pipridae. The transcript has 3 exons.
CAGUUACCACACCUCAGCAUCUGAAACACGCUGAAACAGUUUCUCCGAAUUGAAACAGAAAACAGCGCUUGUGUGUAGGAUAGCACAUGGCUAAAAGAACUGGAACAUGUGAGCUGUUCUAUUUUGUGAAUCUCAAGAAGUACUGAAGUCCUAAAUCACCAAUUCUUCUAACUUUCUGGCCAUUGAUCCGCGGGAAUUCGUAGUUCAGCA